GCAUGUUUUAUUGGGUCCCUAACACGUAGAAAAAACCUAUUUCCAGCCAGGGCAGCCAAAAGCGCGCAUGCGUAAAAGGAAGGUCCUGUUUUUGUUUUGUUGUUGUUGUUGUUGUUUUAAAAAGAAGGCAGCUCUGAGUUUUUUCAAACUCGGAAGGCGGGGGAAGGGGUGGUCCGAACUGGUACAGUGCGCAACACUGCCACCUACUGGCCAGAGAAACGGAACGACACACAUCACAAAGGAAAAUCCGUCGUUUCCUCUGUUCGCCUGUAAAGAGCCCUGCAGAUCAUAGCUGAGGUGGCAAAGAGGAAUGCUGCUGAGGGGGAGCGAAGGCUGCGGUACAAUCGAAGUGGCCCGGCCGAACGGUCUUCGGCACAAUAGCCUUCUAUGGUCCCGCCCCGGAACUAAGCCAACAGAAGCAGGAAGGCCCGCGUCCGGAAGUUCCGGCGCCCGGUAGAGGAAAAGGCAGGGCUUCGGGAUGCGUUCCAAUUGUGAGGGUCUGAGCCUGGUUCCGGCGACUGAGUGAGGUCCUUGCCAGUCUGUGUGCCCAGCUCUGAAGACGGUUUCCAUACUCGUCCAAGGCCCCAAACCCCUGUUAUCCGGCUGCUAUUCCUCGAUCCCCGGACUCUCAGACCGUCCUUUGGGCGAGGCGUGUCCGAAUCCCCUGGUCAUUGUUCUGCCCACUCCAGCCUGUGAACGUUGGUCCCAAGGCACAGUUGCUAUCCUCCUCUCAGCCCUCCCUCCCCUGCUGCCUCCAGGCCUAUCAAGGCCCUAGAAGACGAACCGGCCACCCCCGGUCCUCUCCGUCCUCAGGGUUGUUCUCCCCAACACGAAUAUCCAGCUGCCCAUGGACCUGCCUUGGACCCUGGACAUCAGGAACCCCGCUCCCCUCCCUGGAGUCGCUGUCUAGCAUUCCUCUCUCUCGUCACCCCCAAAAGGCCUGUUCUCCAGCCCCCUCCCUCUACUGCGUCUACAGCCUAGGCAUUAAGCCCUUUAGGGAACCCCCGGUUCCAUGGCCACUAGGUCAUGUCACAUUCUAUUAGGCCAGCUUAAGGGGCUAUAAAUUGUCCCGCGCAAAACAGGUCUUUGCUCCUUCCUCUCUCCUCUCCUGGUACACCCUAAUAAAGACGAAAUCCUGCAACCUCCUGACCUGUAUCUUUUCUCUAUCUGCAGUAACCUUCUAGUGCUCCAUGACCCACGCUUCUCAAGAAGUUCAAUGGUAAUACGUUAAAAAGAAGAAGAAGAAGAAGAAGAAGAAGAAGAAAAGAAAAAAGAGCAGUUAUCAGACAGGAACUCUCACCACUUCACAGCAACACCUGAUCUGCACCUGUAUCUCUGCUAUCCCUGUGGAAUAAAGGACCUUAUCCUACCUGAGGCCAGGCCCUUCACCUGGAUCCCAUGCCCAUCUUCUGGAGGAGGAGUAGGACUUUGCAAUGAUUCCAAUGAUCACCUAUCCAUUUAUUUCUCCAUCAUUCUGUUAUCUAUGAUACAAGAGGCAGUAAAACGUAAAGCCAUCCCUUAUCCCAUAUCUUUCUGAGACACUGCCACAUUUCGCUUGCUGUAAACAGCAAGUCUUCCCUUGUUCUGUAACUUUUUUUUUUUUUUUUUGCUAACUUCUCCAGUCCAGCUUCUAUCAGCCUGCCCCCCAAAUGAAAACAGCUGUCAAGGGCACCAGUGAAUCCCUUUGAUGAUGUCCUCUCCUCAACCUACUGUACCUCUCAGAUAGCUCUGGUACACUUAACAAUUGCCUGGUCCUUGAAAAUGUCCCUCCCUCCCUUUCUUCUAAUUUGUAUUGUGGCCUCUUUGAAAAUUUACUCUUUGGGUGAUGUUCUCGCAACCCCAGUGGCCACUGUGCUCCUUGUCAGUGUUUAUUGCUCACUCCCUGUUCCACAGGGCUUUUAACAGGGCCCUUCCCAUCUACACUCUCUCUGUGGGUUGUUUCAUCCUUGGUGCCAGCACAGAGCAUGGACACAACGGGACCUCCCACGUUCGUACCUCACGCAUCAACCUGUCCCCUGAGAUCCACAUUUGUCUGUGUCUUUGCUGGAUGACCAGAAGGGAGCAGACACUUAACAUGUCCCAAGCACGCCUCUUCAUGUGACGUGUUCCUUUGGUCUCCACUGCAACCCAGCACCACGUCCUCUGGAUUCGAUCUUCUGAAAACAUCCUGUAUCCAUCCCGUUCUGUGUUCAUCUACUGCUACUGUUUUCGUAUCCAAUCUGCUCAUCUCAUGACUUCACAGUGGUAACUCUGGCCUACUCCUAUUCCUCGAACACACCAGGCUUCUUCCCUCCUUAGGACAUUGGUGAUCACAGUUGUCUCUGCCCGGAAGAGUCUCUCCCUGAAUCAUUACAUGGUUGUUUCCUUCUAACCAUCUGGUUUCAACUCCAUUUUUGCCUUUUCAGAAGGUUUUGAGGUGUUUGUGUUAAAGACACAAUACUGUUCCCUGUCUUGUUUACUUCUAAAUGAUUAAAUUAGUUCACUGCUACUUAAACUGACAUAAGCAUGAAAAAUGAGAGGGAGAAAGAGAAGAGGUGGGCCCAUCAUAAGGUCACCUAGGGUGGGCAGCAGUGCUGUCUCAAUUUCAUCCAGUAAGCUCUCUGGCUGCACGGUGGCAGGCCAUGUCUCCCUGUGCCUUGGUUUCUCCAUCUGCACUUAGAACAGUCAGGACACGUGCCCACAGCGUGACUUGAGAUUGUCCAUUCUGAGAACAGGGCUGGCACCAGGAAUUCUCAAAAUGAGUUUGAUAGAUCAUUUCUUUGCAUGUGUGAGCAACUGUCUGCGGGAGAAUCAGGAGCCUGAGAAGAGUUGCUGGAGGCCAGAGUGCUCCCACCUGUGUUUUCUUGAUGGAACCCACAGCCAUGAACUAGCUAGGGAGAAACUGCCCUGGUUAGGACUGAGCAAGGAACCUGUAAUGUAACUUCAGCAGGAACGCCACUGAAGGCAUUGUGCUCAUAAUCGGAAGUUCUUAAGCAAACAUUUUCAUUUCAGGGAUUUUAUCUUUUAGACAGUUGUGCUUUUAUUCUGUUUUCCAGUCAUGUAGACUGUACUCCCCCCUCCCCCCACCACGGUAAUGAGAAAAGUAUUUACUUUGAAACAUUAAACUAUGAAGCCAGUCUCUGUGCUGAUCUUUUAAUUGGUUAUGUGGUAAAUAGGAGACUGGAAAAAGGGUUGCCAAACCUCAAGGAUAUUUCUGGACUAGUCAGAUAUGAAGAUGCACCCAGGGUUUCCUCGUAACUCCUGGAAGACAUCACAAGCUUUGGGAAAAAAACAGAAACCACACGAAGGAGGAGAAACUAAACCACAGGAUGUAUUGUGUGAGGCCACCCACAGACACGGGGUCCUGCCAAUAAAUAAGCUUGUAUCAAGGGUCCUGUGCACGCACAGACAUAUGCACAUGUGGAUACUGCUGCGCACUCCUUCCAGCCCAGAACAGCACAGUGACUGCUGAAUAAGGGUUCCAACUUCUUCCCUGUGCUCUCCUCAUCCUAAUACAUGAUUCGUGGGUGACCACAUGGCCAUCCAGAGCUCCACGCAUCUAACUUGAUUUCAUCUAUUUCCCCUUGUAUGCUGAUGGCUUUUCCCAUCAACAAGUCUACCUAAGAAAUGUCUGCUGGGCCCCAGGACCCCAUGGGCUGAACCUAUAGGACACCUCUACUCAGGUGCAAAUCCCACAAGCCCUACAAAUCUGCACAGGACCCCAGACCUCUAUUCCCUGUCUCAUGGCUGGACACUGCCAUCCACCCAAUUCCCGAAGGCAAAAUCCUAGAGAUACUGCUAGGUGUGUUCUCCAUUGUCCAAUGACUCUCUGGGACCUGCUCUGGAAAAGGCUAAGCCAUGAUCCUCACCU
Molecule: long non-coding RNA, 3850 nt
Organism: Prionailurus viverrinus (fishing cat)
Lineage: Eukaryota; Metazoa; Chordata; Mammalia; Carnivora; Felidae
Exons: 3
Source: RefSeq, a predicted model, not a curated record